UGCAAGUCGAACGGGACUACUUUUGGUAGCAAUACUAAGAGUAGUUUAGUGGCGAACGGGUGCGUAACACGUGGGCAAUCUGCCGAGAAGUGGGGGAUAGCUCGCUGAAAGGCGAAUUAAUACCGCAUAUGAUCAGGGACGACAUCUUCCCAACAUCAAAGCCGGGGCAACCUGGCGCUUUUUGAGGAGCCCGCGGCCUAUCAGCUAGUUGGCGAGGUAACGGCUCACCAAGGCUAUGACGGGUAGCUGGUCUGAGAGGACGACCAGUCACACUGGAACUGAGACACGGUCCAGACACCUACGGGUGGCAGCAGUCGAGAAUUUUUCUCAAUGGGGGAAGCCCUGAAGGAGCGACGCCGCGUGGAGGAUGAAGGCUUUCGGGUUGUAAACUCCUGUCAUUUGAGAACAAGUGCCAACAAGUAACUACUGUUGGCUUGAUAGUAUCAGAAGAGGAAGAGACGGCUAACUCUGUGCCAGCAGCCGCGGUAAUACAGAGGUCUCAAGCGUUGUUCGGAUUCAUUGGGCGUAAAGGGUGCGUAGGUGGCGCCGUAAGUCGGGUGUGAAAUUUCGGAGCUUAACUCCGAAACUGCAUUCGAUACUGCGGUGCUUGAGGACUGGAGAGGAGACUGGAAUUCAUGGUGUAGCAGUGAAAUGCGUAGAGAUCAUGAGGAAGACCAGUGGCGAAGGCGGGUCUCUGGACAGUUCCUGACACUGAGGCACGAAGGCCAGGGGAGCAAACGGGAUUAGAUACCCCGGUAGUCCUGGCAGUAAACGGUGCACGUUUGGUGUGGGAGGAUUCGACCCCUUCUGCGCCGGAGCUAACGCGUUAAACGUGCCGCCUGGGGAGUACGGUCGCAAGAUUAAAACUCAAAGAAAUUGACGGGGGCCCGCACAAGCGGUGGAGUAUGUGGCUUAAUUCGAUGCAACGCGAA
RNAcentral lists this ribosomal RNA (932 nucleotides) under uncultured Xiphinematobacteriaceae bacterium. Its description in RNAcentral is "bacterial SSU rRNA". It matches the Rfam family "Bacterial small subunit ribosomal RNA", at positions 56 to 965 of the family's 1533-position model. The record is from RNAcentral. Lineage: Bacteria; Pseudomonadati; Verrucomicrobiota; Spartobacteria.